Molecule: ribosomal RNA, 460 nt
Filed under: uncultured bacterium
Lineage: Bacteria
Description: partial 16S ribosomal RNA
Rfam family: Bacterial small subunit ribosomal RNA
Source: RNAcentral
CUACGGGGUGCUGCAGUCGAGUAUCUUCCGCAAUGGACGAAAGUCUGACGGAGCGACGCCGCGUGCGGGAUGAAGGCCUUCGGGUUGUAAACCGCUGUCAGUGGGGAGGAAAUGCAUCAGGGUUCUCCCUGGUGUUUGACCGAUCCGCAGAGGAAGCGCAGGCUAAGUUCGUGCCAGCAGCCGCGGUAACACGAACUGCGCGAACGUUAUUCGGAAUCACUGGGCUUAAAGAGUUCGUAGGCGGCCUUUCAAGUCGGGUGUGAAAUCCCUCGGCUCAACCGAGGAAUUGCGCCUGAUACUGUUGGGCUUGAGGGGGAUAGGGGUGAGCGGAACUGAUGGUGGAGCGGUGAAAUGCGUUGAUACCAUCAGGAACACCGGUGGCGAAGGCGGCUCACUGGAUCUCUUCUGACGCUGAGGAACGAAAGCUAGGGAGCGAACGGGAUUAGAUACCCUGGUAGUC